GCUGGGCAUGGUGGCGCAUGCCUGUAAUCCCAGCUACUUGGGAGGCUGAGGCAGGAGAAUCGUUUGAAUCCAGGAGGCAUAGCUUACAGUGAGCCAAGUCUGUCACUCUAGUCUGGGUGACAGAAUGAGACUCUGUCUCAA
This is an unclassified non-coding RNA of Papio anubis (olive baboon), 141 nucleotides long. It matches the Rfam family "Metazoan signal recognition particle RNA". Rfam says of the family: The signal recognition particle (SRP) is a universally conserved ribonucleoprotein. NCBI's taxonomy places the organism in Eukaryota, Metazoa, Chordata, Mammalia, Primates, Cercopithecidae. The record is from Ensembl.